Long non-coding RNA from Sipha flava (yellow sugarcane aphid), 1290 nucleotides. RefSeq lists it as uncharacterized. The transcript has 3 exons. NCBI's taxonomy places the organism in Eukaryota, Metazoa, Arthropoda, Insecta, Hemiptera, Aphididae. The record is from RefSeq and is a predicted model, not a curated record.
GGGGGUGUCAUAUUUACCAAACACCCCCCUUGUAUACGCCACUGGUUUCCAGUGUGACUCGCUUUUUCAAUGAUCAUUAACAAAUAACAAGGACAAGUAAAACAAGCGUAUGGACUGAAUUUUGAAAAUUUAUGCUUCUCACAUGGAUAACUGUGUGUGGCCUAUAGUAUACUCACGUGUCAAAUUGUGUACACAAUACAAAAGGAAAAACAAAAAAAUAUUGUAUAAUCCACAUACACUUUAAUAAAUAGCAUUUAUUUAGAACCUCGAACUGUCAGACUUUUCUCAAUAAAAUGAAUAAAUAAAAUAAUAAUAAUCCAAAAUAAGAAGGUAUAGGUUCAACGGUAACACCCAAAAAGAAUUGAACACUCAAAAUUUUCUCAACGGACAACGUCAGGUAUAACUCACUUAUUGAUCAUCGCUACAUCUCAAAACUAUAUGAACUUGAAAUUUGAAAUGGUGGUCUCUCCAAUAUACAAAACAUGCAAUAAGAAGGGAUUUUAAAAAAAUAUUGGAACCAGCAAAUACGGAAAUUCAGAGGUAUCACCAAAAUUACUAUACUGAUUCAUUUGAACUUUCAUUUUAUUUGUUUUAUAACCACCAAUAGUUAUACCGAACUUGGCUUUAAUUAGUGUAAAGUAAUAAAACCUAUGUCACGGCCAAGAAUUUUCCGUGCGAAGCCGGUUAUCACUGUUGAUGUCGACCCGGAUUUAAAAUCAAAUUAGUUCGCCGAAAUGCCCAAAUAUACGGAGUCGAUGCAGAAAUCGACUUCCGUGUAGGCGAUUGUUUCAACAUUUUAGACCGGGUUCGUGCAGAUGCAGUGGUGACAUCGCCGCCGUGGGGCGGACCCGGCUAUUCCAGACAUUUCGACGCGAAUGAUCUGUGUAGCCGGGAAGCGGGUGGCAUGUCAAGCAUCCUCAGUAUGGCAAGGAAAAUCGCUCCUCGAACUGUACUACACGUGCCGAAGACCGUUGACUGAGAACAGUGUUUACACUUAUCGAGAAACGCAAACUUCGGCCGUGUAGAGUUUGAGGACGUGAUGAUCGAUGAACGGCAGAAUUGCACAAAUAUAUAUUUGAAAUUGCGACAGGAUAACAGGCGACUCGGACCUGCUGUCACUACAAAUUGGAAUUGGACACCGAAUAUAAAAAUCGGUGGUGACGUUCUAAUAGCCUUAAUACAUAUUCCACCUAUUUGGAGAAAACUACACAAUUUUUGAACUCCAAAUAACUGACUUCUGGGACAUUUUUCCAAUAUUUUUUUGUUUCUAUUUUUUUUCUUAAUUUUUUU